UACUGCCAAGUUCAUUCUACAGGAUGG
Molecule: non-coding RNA, 27 nt
Filed under: Mus musculus (house mouse)
Lineage: Eukaryota; Metazoa; Chordata; Mammalia; Rodentia; Muridae
Source: RNAcentral